AUUCAGCUGACGAGUCCCGAAUAGGACGAAACGCGCGUCCCGGAU
RNAcentral lists this non-coding RNA (45 nucleotides) under Schistosoma mansoni. The record is from RNAcentral. Lineage: Eukaryota; Metazoa; Platyhelminthes; Trematoda; Strigeidida; Schistosomatidae.